Molecule: ribosomal RNA, 465 nt
Filed under: uncultured bacterium
Lineage: Bacteria
Description: partial 16S ribosomal RNA
Rfam family: Bacterial small subunit ribosomal RNA
Source: RNAcentral
CCUACGGGUGGCAGCAGUAGGGAAUCUUCCACAAUGGACGAAAGUCUGAUGGAGCAACGCCGCGUGAGUGAAGACGGUCUUCGGCUCGUAAAGCUCUUUUGGUAGUGAAGAAAGAUAGAGGGAGUAACUGUCCUUUAUUUGACGUUAAUUACUUAGAAAGUCACGGCUAACUACGUGCCAGCAGCCGCGGUAAUACGUAGGUGGCAAGCGUUGUCCGGAUUUAUUGGGCGUAAAGCGAGUGAAGGCGGUUAAUUAAGUCUGAUGUGAAAUCCUUCGGCUCAACCGGAGAAUUGCAUCAGAAACUGGUGAACUUGAGUGCAGAAGAGGUGAGCGGAACUCCAGGUGUAGCGGUGGAAUGCGUAGAUAUAUGGAAGAACACCAGUGGCGAAGGCGGCUUUCUGGUCUGCAACUGACGCUGAGGCUCGAAAGCGUGGGUAGCAAACAGGAUUAGAUACCCUAGUAGUC